AAACCGGAGGAAGUGGGGAUGACGUCAAGUCCUCAUGGCCCUUAUAGUGGGGCUACACACGUCAUACAAUGGCUGGUACAAAGGGUUGCCAACCGCAGGGGGAGCCAAUCCCAUAAAGCCAGUCGUAGUCCGGAUCGCAGUCUGCAACUCGACUGCGUGAAGUCGGAAUCGCUAGUAAUCGUGGAUCAGCAUGUCACGGUGAAUACGUUCCCGGGUCUU
RNAcentral lists this ribosomal RNA (219 nucleotides) under uncultured Variovorax sp. RNAcentral's name for it is "partial 16S ribosomal RNA". It matches the Rfam family "Bacterial small subunit ribosomal RNA", at positions 1160 to 1382 of the family's 1533-position model. Lineage: Bacteria; Pseudomonadati; Pseudomonadota; Betaproteobacteria; Burkholderiales; Comamonadaceae. The record is from RNAcentral.